GAUGAACGCUGGCGGCGUGCUUAACACAUGCGAGUCGAACGGAAAGGCCCUGCUUUUGCUGGGUGCUCGAGUGGCGAACGCGUGAGUAACACGUGAGUAAAACGCACCUGUCUUUGGGGUAACUUCAGGAAACUGCGGCGAAUACCCGAGAGAAGAUACUGCUGCAUGUUGGUCGAUGGAAAGAUUCGGCGGUUGGGGCUGGAAUCGAUGCUUAUCAGCUUGUUUGUCGGGUAGUGGCUUACCAAGGCUUUGACGGGUAGGCGGCCUGAGAGGGUUAACAGGCACAUUGCGACUGCGGUACGGAGCAGACUGCUACGGGACGCAGCAGGCGAGAAUAUUGCGCAACGGGCCGACGCCUGAUGCAGCAACGUCGCGUGCGGGAUGACCUCUUUCGAGGUGUAAACCGCUUUCGCCUGUGACGAAGCGUGCGUGACGGUAAUGGGUAAAGAAGCACCGGCUAACUACGUG
RNAcentral lists this ribosomal RNA (468 nucleotides) under uncultured bacterium. RNAcentral describes it as "partial 16S ribosomal RNA". It matches the Rfam family "Bacterial small subunit ribosomal RNA", at positions 28 to 507 of the family's 1533-position model. The record is from RNAcentral.